ACAGAGCCCGCAGGGUCCGGAGCUCCGGCUCGCAGCCCCGCCCGCGCAGCUGCUUGGGAAAGCUGCGACCGCCGGUGGCCAAGGCGGAGCGGGAAGCAGAGGACGAGAAUGAAUGGACCAGCGGGACUCGCGUCCCUGGACCGUCGCCAGCAGGUUCUCAAAUUAGGCGAAAGCUUCGAGAAGCAGCCGCGCUGCGCCUUCCACACCGUGCGCUAUGACUUCAAACCUGCUUCUAUUGAUACUUCUUGUGAAGGAAAUCUUGAAGUUGGCAAAGGUGAACAGGUGACAAUAACUCUACCAAAUAUA
This is a long non-coding RNA of Onychomys torridus (southern grasshopper mouse), 306 nucleotides long. RefSeq lists it as uncharacterized. The record is from RefSeq and is a predicted model, not a curated record. NCBI's taxonomy places the organism in Eukaryota, Metazoa, Chordata, Mammalia, Rodentia, Cricetidae. The transcript is spliced from 2 exons.